Molecule: non-coding RNA, 1999 nt
Organism: Phalacrocorax carbo (great cormorant)
Lineage: Eukaryota; Metazoa; Chordata; Aves; Suliformes; Phalacrocoracidae
Source: RefSeq, a predicted model, not a curated record
GCCGGGUGGGGCGUGGUGGAAGAGGCAACGUGGCUUAGCUGCGCCGGGGCGGGGGCGCAGCCCGAGGGAAGGGUGGUGCCGUCGUGCCCGGAUUUGGGGGUCUGCUGGGAGCAAACGGAGGUCAGGACUGCCUGGGCAGGGAUCCCCAAGUUGCGUGCCAAGCUCGUGGACCAGCAAUCUGCAGAACAAAAGGACUCCUCAGAGAGCCAGGCUCCAAAAUUGAAGACGUCCAGGGAUUGCUCCCACAGCAAACAUGCUGGCAGCAUCCCCCACCCCCAGCAACAGGCCCCUGGCGACAUGAUGUGAUAGUGAGAUGCUGUGGUAGGGGGUUAGGCUGAUGUGAGGUUGCGAGAAAGUAAUGAGAGACGCGGCAUAAACUGUCCAGGCCUGUGCAUUGCAACACAUGGGGAUGAACGUCAGACUCAUCUCAGGACACAUGAGUCCAUCAGGAUGCCACAGUCAUUGUUACCUAGAAGCAUUGACUAGUCACUUGUUUCCAGCAUGGGCUUGUGUUGCUGUCUUCCCUGGAACUUGUUGGAGAAGAGGAUGUGUGUUCGUUGUGCUUGUAAUGAUCUCCAGCCGGGGGUCUGUCUUUUAUUGCAGUCCCAGGCAUGCAAGCUUUUUCUGUGGUUCCCUUUUUGCCUUUUUUUCUUGAGUGUCCAAUGAGGUUUGCUCCAGUAUCAGUGACAGCAGUUAUGUUCUUUUGUUCUUGUUUAUCUCUUGUGCUUUAGCACCAGUUUCUGUAGUCAUAAGGUGUCCAAUUUAGAUCACUGAGUCACCGUGACACACUGUCGUGGUUUUUCCAUCGGCCAACUGCCUCUGUAAUUCUCUAAGGGGCUUUGUAGGGAAUUGGGCUUAAGGGUCUGGAGCUGAUUUUGUGGUGGGCAGUCUCAGUUGCUGCAUGGUAUAGUGUCCUGUCCUUUUGAGGUUUCUGUGCUUUGAUAUUUUCUGGGUUUUAGUUAGAAUUUUUUAGCAGGAUUUCUUUUGUUUAUUCCUGAAGGUAAAGUCAGGUUUUCUUUUGACAUCCAGGUCCCUGUGGCUCUUUCCUCUUUUUUUUCCAGAUAUCCUCACCAGUGUUUUCUCAUGACAGGGGGGCAGAGCUGGGAAUGGAGUGCUGGGGCAUCCAGGUGCCAUGGGUGAUGGUGGCCACAACAUCCAGCCUUAUUAGAGUGGGAGCAAGUGGAACUUCACAGUGCUUCCGAGGAGGGUGCCAUUGCGGAAGAGAUCAGCGUUGAGUGGUGUGACGCUGACUGAUGGCACUCCAUGUUUGGAGACGAUGAAGAGGAUCUGUGUGACUGCAGCACCAUCCUACGUGGCCUGUGUGGCCUUUUUAAAGGAUGGCUUUUGAACCCCAGCAUUUUGAAAGGGAAGUUGAGGGACUGAUGCUGUCUUUGUGAGGGUAGCCGGUUGGUUGGGGGAAGCGGAGGUGGGGCAGGCAGGGGUUUUAAAAUCAGCGGAGAGUACCGAUCAGAGAUCGAUCACUCUUGGGCAGAGAGAGGGUGUGAUGUCCUUUCCGCAAAACGCGGGCAUCCGCCAGGCAGGGUAGUUCCAGCCUGUGUCUGUGGUGUUGUGUGGAUUUUGUAGUCUGUACAUCCCAGUACAUCCCAGUUCCAUCCCAGUACAUCCCAGUACAUGCCAGUGCCUCCCAGUACAUCCCAGUUCUCUCCCAGUUCCAUCCCAGUCCAUCCCAGUACAUGCCAGUGCCUCCCAGUACAUCCCAGUUCCGUCCCAGUACAUAGCAGUACAUCCCAGUUCCCUCCCAUUCCCUCCCAGUACAUCCCAGUUCACUCCCAGUAUAUCCAGUGGAUGCCAGUUCCCUCCCAGUAUAUCCCAGUACAUCCCUGUUCCCUCCCAGUACCUUCUAGUACAUCCCAGUACAUCCCAGUUCUACCCCAGUACGUCCAGUGCCUCCCAGUACAUCCCAGUUCCCUCCCAGUAUAUCCCAGUACAUCCAGUGGAUCCCAAUUCCCUCCCAGUUCCCUUCCAGUACGUCCCAGUU